Molecule: ribosomal RNA, 260 nt
Filed under: uncultured bacterium
Lineage: Bacteria
Description: partial 16S ribosomal RNA
Rfam family: Bacterial small subunit ribosomal RNA
Source: RNAcentral
GUCCACGCUGUAACGAUGAGCACUAGGUGUCGUCCCUUAGGGUCGGUGCCGCAGUUAACACAUUAAGUGCUCCACCUGGGGACUACGACCGCAAGGUUGAAACUCAAAGGAAUUGACGGGGCCCGCACAAGCGGUGGAACAUGUGGUUCAAUUCGACGCUACGCGAAGAACCUUACCAAGGUUUGACAUGCUAGUGGUAGUGAAGCGAAAGCGGAACGACCUCGCAAGAGGAGCUAGCACAGGUGUUGCAUGGCUGUCGU